GGACUACUGGGGUAUCUAAUCCUGUUUGCUCCCCUAGCUUUCGUGCCUCAGUGUCAGUUAUUGUCCAGGGACUCGCCUUCGCCACUGGUGUUCCUCUCGAUAUCUACGCAUUUCACUGCUACACCGAGAAUUCCAGUCCCCCUUCCAAUCCUCUAGCAGGAUAGUAUUCAAUGCAGUUUCCGAGUUAAGCUCGGAGAUUUCACAUCAAACUUACCCUGCCACCUACGCACCCUUUACGCCCAGUGAAUCCGAACAACGCUUGGGACCUCUGUAUUACCGCGGCUGCUGGCAC
This 292-nucleotide ribosomal RNA is filed under the name uncultured Verrucomicrobiota bacterium. RNAcentral's name for it is "uncultured Verrucomicrobia bacterium partial 16S ribosomal RNA". The record is from RNAcentral. Lineage: Bacteria; Pseudomonadati; Verrucomicrobiota.